GAUGAACGCUGGCGGCGUGCCUAAUACAUGCAAGUCGAGCGAACAGACGAGGAGCUUGCUCCUCUGACGUUAGCGGCGGACGGGUGAGUAACACGUGGAUAACCUACCUAUAAGACUGGGAUAACUUCGGGAAACCGGAGCUAAUACCGGAUAAUAUAUUGAACCGCAUGGUUCAAUAGUGAAAGACGGUUUUGCUGUCACUUAUAGAUGGAUCCGCGCCGCAUUAGCUAGUUGGUAAGGUAACGGCUUACCAAGGCAACGAUGCGUAGCCGACCUGAGAGGGUGAUCGGCCACACUGGAACUGAGACACGGUCCAGACUCCGACGGGAGGCAGCAGUAGGGAAUCUUCCGCAAUGGGCGAAAGCCUGACGGAGCAACGCCGCGUGAGUGAUGAAGGUCUUCGGAUCGUAAAACUCUGUUAUUAGGGAAGAACAAUGUGUAAGUAACUAUGCACGUCUUGACGGUACCUAAUCAGAAAGCCACGGCUAACUACGUG
Molecule: ribosomal RNA, 496 nt
Filed under: uncultured bacterium
Lineage: Bacteria
Description: partial 16S ribosomal RNA
Rfam family: Bacterial small subunit ribosomal RNA
Source: RNAcentral